RNAcentral lists this transfer RNA (7140 nucleotides) under Daphnia pulex (common water flea). RNAcentral describes it as "uncharacterized LOC124204586, transcript variant X2". The stretch from base 1098 to 1169 matches the Rfam family "tRNA". The record is from RNAcentral. Lineage: Eukaryota; Metazoa; Arthropoda; Branchiopoda; Diplostraca; Daphniidae.
GAAUGGGCUGGACAUCUUCAAGGACAAUGGAGAAUGCAUCGUGUUUGAAGCUAAUACAACACCUCCUGAUUGUUGUUGGUUAUAAAGAGGUGACCACAGCAUUUGAGUUUUGACAUCAGAGCAAGCAAAGUGGCAGCUUCAUCUCUUCUUCCCCCUUUCUUGAGUCCCCUCUCUUGUUCUCGUGUACAGUCAUGUGUGUGUGAAUGUAUUCACGAGGGCAUCCUUCACCUUUUCCCUCGAUCCCCUGCCACUGUGGAUGGAGCUUGGAACACCGGAAACGCUCGGCGGUAUUACUCAGGCUUGAAGGAAUUCGCGGGAAUUCGUUGAAUUAACCUUGCUUUAAGGGAAGCUCCUGUUGACGUGAAAAGAAAUGUCCGGCCAUAUUUGGUUCCCGUUUACCGAAUUGGUGGUCGAUUGAAGGCAAAGUGAUUCGUUUCACCAUCUUCUAGCGGUGUUUGGAAGGCGUUCUUAUAACGAAAUAGUUUUCACGUAUUCUGGAUGACAUGUCUAUGGAGGAACGUCGUGCGAAGUGCGUUAGCUUCAUAAACUUGCAUAAAUAAUUCUCAGUCGGUUCCACUGAUCUGCACACAAGUUUUUAAGAUCCUUAAUAGAGUCUCAGCCGUGGCCAGUGAGGUAAUAGAAGCAAGAAGCAUUCUACUCUUUUGCUAAAAAUUUUUAGUCGUUCGUUUUGACUGGCGCCUUUUAUUUUUUUACCUUCUAUCUUAUUUUGAGUCGCCUUCAUGUCCUUUUGCUUGUUUUCUGUCCAGCGUCUGUCCUGUCAGACUACGAAUACUUUGCGAUUCAUUUGUUGAUUUGUCGGGAUUUUAUCCGGAUUUGUAUCUCCCAUCCGGAUAUUUCAACCUGGGGCUAACUGUGAGAUAGUUGAAGAUAUUGUCAUGUUGUCCUGCCCCCAUGAAUCACGAUUUAUUCAGAUUUGCCACUAGAGUUUGUUACUAAGACCUUGCGCUUGUUUUUGAGCUUUCAAGUCCCCAAUAGUCUUCUCACAUUUCCUAUUUAUCGUUGCUAAUCCAAUAUCGUCAAUUGAUAUCUCAUACUAAAUCCGAGACAUUCAAUUGAUCUCUACCUGGUGUUGCGCAAGGGGCAUAGCUCAGUGGUAGAGCAUCCGACUGCAGAUCGUUAUGUCCCCGGUUCAAACCCGGGUGCCCCCUACGGUUCAGCAACAGCAUUCAGUGUUCCAGCACCUAUAAUCUGAAGGCAACUUCAUCUUCCAAGUUCCAAAAGCCUCAAAUGGCGUUUCUAUUCCCAGACGUGUACCUUUGUUAUAGUUAAAUGCAGAUGUCCAUCGCCAAAGUAUUUUUUUUUGUCAGGAUCGAUCUGGAAAUUCUAGAACUGGGUAAAGAAUGAUCAGUUUUCAUCUCGAAGCAAUUCAGACUGUGCGUUGCUGAUUGUUUGUACAUCUUCCGGGUAGUGGCCUAGUGGGAACUAUAUGUCGGCUCUGGAGGUCAGCAAUAACAAAAAGUUGGUCGCUUCUUUUUUUGCUUCCAAACUGGCAACUUUUGCUCUGAAAAAUCUUUCGGUUUCCUGUUUGAAAAACUAAUUUGAACUCUCCCCGUGGUAUAUCUGUUUGUUCAAGUCGACCUUAAGCCAAAACCAACGAACGUGGCCCACCACGGAUUUCUUUUAAAUUGUGGUUUCAGAUUCCUGCAAUAGUCGUCGGUUUCCAACGCUAAUUCCUUGAAAACUGUCGAUGGCCUCUGUUAACUACGUGCAAACAGUCUGCUGAAUCAGUCACCGUCAUUAUUUAUUCAACAGUGUAGUUUUCAGAAAUUGCAGCUCUUUGGGUGGGCAUGUUUGAAAGAAGGAAAACAAAAUGUUAUCAUUUGGUUUUCCCAACAUUUAAGAACCACGCAGUGCACUCUUGAACUAGAAAGCGUCACUCGUUCGGAAGAUAAUUGGCGCGACGACGAAAUUGAGUAAAGCAAAUUUGAAAAUGGUUGUUAAAAAUGUCCAGCGUGGUGGCAGUCACGACGUAUUUCCCCGAGAAAUCGAUGCUCUUGCAUUCUUACUACGUGUCGACUAGUUAAUUUAUCUUAUCUGUCGAGUUUGUCUUGACUUUUUAUGACCGUUGACAUUCCACCCACCGCAUGUGCCAGUGUCGUUGAUUUCGUUAUUCGUUUCGUCUUUUUCGUUCAAAGUUAUUUGUUUACAUGCAACUGAGGCGGAUUUCAGUGGAAUUCGGUUCAAAAUGAUAAGCUGUCUGUUGAUGGGUUUCAGUAGUCGUUGCAGAAGGAUCGCAAUAAGUAUUCUUCUCUCCAUUCAACAUCAUCAUUUGAAUUUUAUUCACUAGACAAUUUCAAUUCCACUUGGUUUGUUCAACAUUUUUCUGCUAAACGAUGACGAACUUAUUACCGUUAACGGCUGGUGCGUUUGUCGUCGUCUUUCUGCUGUCGGGGACAGGUAACGCACAGAUCCACUUUGCAGGAAGAUCGAGCAGGAUCGAAUUGCCUUCCGUGCCGUUCACAGACGACUAUUUGAAAAAAUCGCCAAUGAUCUUCCACGCCAUCGAGAUACUCUACGUGCCUCUAUGGGAAUUGCGCUGGCAAUUUUCGGAAGCGUCAAAGAAAAACGCAAGAAAUACCCAAAACGCUAGAAAUCCCAACGAAAAAUUUCUCGAUCUUUGCGGCGCCUUGAAUUUCUUCAAGGCGGAACAGAGUUAUACAAAUAGGAAUUUGCCGGAGAAUUUCAAGAAAAUGAAAGAUCUAUCCAAAGCUUUUAUUCAAAUGUACCACAUGCGCACCGAAGUUUCCCAUCAGAGUUACUCGGUGGGAUGUUUCGAGUCGGACGCCAAGGCCCUAAUUGACGUGGCGAAAUACCUGGACAACUUGAUUGGCGGAAAGAGCGGUCGGAUUACCGGGACUGAAACGAGCGUAGAAUCUUCCACAACAAGAAGAGGUAUUGGCGAACGAACCAGAGCGGACGGUGGAUCUCGCGGUAGAAGUCCAAGUCCAAUUGGCAGAUCAAGAAGCCGAACUACUAGCACUGAAUCUGAACCUCUUUUGAGAAGUCAAGACAGUCUUUCUAAUAGUCCUACUAUUGAGAAUAAAAUCUUGGUGGCUCUUGGCAAACGAGACAGCAGGUCAUUCGGUCGAAUCGAUGACAAAUGCUCCGGUCGCUCGUCUAAAAUCGCUGAAUGUGCUAUUGAUUCUUCUCCUUCAAACAGUGGUCGUCCAAUGAUUGGUUGACAACGCCGACCGAACCGAUUCAUUUCGCUGUGUUUAAGUUGAGUGUCUAUUUUUUUUGGGGACGCUGUUGUGUUACUUUGUUGUUUUGCUAUGUCGGCUGGAUGAUGUUUGCUUAAAAUUCCCCAAUAAAUUUGCAUUUCUUGAACUAUUUAGAAAAUGAUUAUUUGCUUUGGUAAGAAAAAUGGUGGGCGACGAAAAUUGGAAACCAACAGCCAAGCAAAUUUGAAAAUGGUGAUGUUAAUGUCCAGCUCGGUCUUACGUCGUACGUAUUUCCCCUUAGAAAUCGAUCAGACUGAUGCUCUUGUUGUUUUAUUGCGACCUGUCAAUUUAUCUUAUCUCUGUUCAGUUUGUCUUGACUACUAUGUAUGACCUUUGCCAUUUCACCCACCGCUGUUGGGUCGUUUCUUUUUCUUUUGCAUUCGUUUCGCCUUUCACAUUCAGAGUGAUUGGGUCACAUGCAAUAACUGAGGCGGAUUUCAGUUCAAUUUCGGUGGUCGUUUGAGACGGUUCGCAGUAAAUAGUCCGGAACAGCAUCGUCAUAGAAAUAUUGACUCGGUCUUUCCGAUUUUACUUAGUAGUUACUUUUCGUCCAGAACGAUGAAAAACUUAUUAACGUUAACGGCUGGUGCGUUUGUCGUUGUCUUUCUGCUGGCGGGGACAGAUGUGUGGCCUUGCCGUACUCACGCAGCGACCCUGUUAAACAACCGUGGCGACAAAACUAAUCUAACGCUGGGAAUUGUUCAAGAAAAUGAGCUGUUUAGACAGAAACGCCAAUCCCCCGGAGAACCUGCUGGCCGGAAAUCGCCCCGUGAAUGGUACACUGAAGAAUAUUCGUUGAAAACUCGCAAGAUCUUUCACGCUCACCAGAUCCUCUACGGGCCUCUGUGGCAAUUGCACGUGAAGAUUCUGAAUCCGAAUCCACAGCAGAAUGAGAAUGACGUCGUUUCUUUAGAUCUCAGCAAAGUCUUGUACCCCUUUACAGGUUUUAAAACCCCCCAAAUCUCUCUGCCAGAUAAUUUGAAAAAGGGUUUCCCUGGACCCGAACGCUUCAGCCAAAUGUACGUUAUGCGCAUCGAGAUUUCCCAUCAGAGUUACUCGGUGAAAUGUUUCGAGUCGGACAAGAAAGUCCUGAUUGCCCUGGCGGAAUACUUGGACGGCGUCAAUAGCCAAAAGAGCGCUGCUAAAUCCAGCGGAACUGGGCGGUGCGACUGUCUAAGAAUCGUGGUUAAAAGAAUUCUUUGCUGCAUCGAAAAUCUUAGAAAUAGGAAGACGUUGAAAUCAGCCAUCACCUCGGCUCUGGACUAUAAAUCAAGUCCAUCCACACCGAGUGCAAGUGAUAACCAGUGUGCGGUCAAAGAUUCCCUCGAUAAAAUCAGGAAAAUUUUCUAAACUGAAUGCGAACAGGGCGCACAGUGGCGGACAACAAAUCCCGACUAUGCAUUUACAAUACAUUUAAACCGGAAAUGACAAACUAUAAUGGGAUUCAAUUUCACUUCAUUGUUGUCGUUGAUUCAUAUUUUUGUUUUUGUACAAAACGAAUAUAGCGCCGUUUUGCCAUCAGCAUUUUUUAUUAUUUGUUUUGUUUUAUUUUGUUUUUUAAAUUAUUAUUUAGAAAUGUCUAAUUUUAUCCAAAUAACCCUAACAGUCUAACACCAAUCUCAGACGUCGAGAUUUGUAAGGUUUCAUAGUUCAGAAAUUUUGGUUUCACUAAAUUUUGUUUUUAAGAAUUUUUCCCUUUUAUUAAUUGACCGCAGUUAAAGACAACCCAAACGCCAAAGCCAUUCGGAAAUAAUUGUCCUGUUAAAAAUAUAAACCAUUGGAGAAAUAAUAUCACAAGGUUUCUCUCGUACAGGCUCGGUCAUAAUCAGCUGAUUUUCCAUGACAGAUUGCGUCAGACUCUGUGACUUGCCCAAGAACCGUGCUGAGAAAAAACAACAGCAUGUUAAUGCGCCCUUCAAGGUUAGAACAUUCCUCCAUGAUAAUCGGGCAAAAGACGGUAUACAGUAUAUGCUACCAUAUUAUACUGUCCAUCCAGCAGCAGCUAAUACUGUUCUUCUCCCAACCGCAUAAUCAUAACGGUGUGCUGGCCGGACGCGGUAAUAAAUUAAGGCUAGCCGCAUGCUCCAAAUGAGAUGGGCCAUGGAAUCAUUUGGAAAUGUGCGUUUCCGGGUAGGGCAUCAGCAGUGAUGAUCCAACCGGCAACAUGAAGAGAACCUUAAUCACCUUCUCGCUGACUUUGGCCACCGUUUUCGCUUAUUAUUCCACUCCGGAUGCGGAAGAAGAAGAUGGCAACACGGGUAAUAGCGUCGUCGGAUAUUACGACAGCGAAAGCGGAACGCUAAACAAUCCAGCGUUGGUCCACAUCGGCACUCCGGAUGAACAAAAUUCCGGAAACGACAAGAACAACAACAACUACGACGUGCCGAUCAACAUUUAUUAUCACUACCAGCAUCCGGACAGUGAAUUAACUGACGAACGGGCGCCGGGUGUUCCGGCAUCCGCCCACGAAAUCAAUCCGACUCACAUCAAUUUUCUCAUCCGCUUUUUCCGCUCCUUUGCCGCUUUGCCAGCCAUUUUCCGCCAUCGGUUUCUCUGCAAUUUCUCACCUUCAGUUUCUCUGGACAAUUUAAAUUGUUUCACAAGUUUGGAAUAACAUCAUUUUUAGACAACAGGAAGAGAAAUUAGUUAUCUCCUUUUGUUUGUUGAGUCGGCAGCAGCUCCAGUGGCGCAGUUGGUUAGCGCAUGGUACUUAUACGACAGUAUACAUGGUUAAAACAAUGUCAAAAUUACCUGAAGAAAUAAAUUCGAGAGAUGCCGAGGUCGCGAGUUCGAGCCUCGCCUGGAGCAAUUAAUUUUACUAAAUAAUUCUGUUAACAAUUUUGAAUCGAAAUUUUUAUUUCAGUAUUUGAUUUGGAUCACGUGGACUGGCACGGGUGGAAUGAAAGACACUUGUUGAUUUACGUAAUCAACAGCACACAGGGCUGUCGCUAGUCACGUGGAGGGAAAUGUGAUUGAUAAUCUAUACUUUUGGUUUUUUGAUUAAAAAGUAACUGUCGUUGCCAGGCAACUAAAGUAAGUCGAUCGAUAAGGUGAGUCGUUUUUACAUAACAGCGUCACGUAGGGCAUGGCAAGAGAGUUGAUCAUAUAACGACUGUGUUGAUCCAUAUCGGACCAUGUCUUUGAACGAACCACGUAGGCAGAUGCUAACGAACAAAGUCCAAUCUUUUAAAAUGGGGCCCGUGUUACAUUGUGGCCGAUUAUUUCAGGUAUAAAACCGUCCAUUUUGUCCAGACCCGCCUCAUUCAGUCUUCUCACACAGACCGACAUUUAAAAAAUGAACAAAGCUUCCGGCAUUCUCAUCGCUCUUUUCGCUGUUUUGGGUGGCACUUUUGCUGCUUGUAACCAGGGCUACUCUCAAAUCGGAGACAAAUGCUACACGGUGCCUGGCUUGCCCCAACGAUUUAACUAUUGGAGCUCCAACGAAUUGUGCAGCGUCGCCAAAGGCGAUCUUUUCCACGUCCAAAACAUUACCCAAUGGGAGGAUCUCAACACUUUCCUGGUUGGACUCGGUUACUACGACACCUACUGGACCGGAGUUGCUGCCGAAGGACACCCUGGUCUAUGGGUUGUUCGGUCGACCGGAUUUGAGUUGAUCCCGGAAGCUGUUGAAUUCAAAGAAGGAUCUCCCAGCAACUCGGCUACCAACUUGUGCUUGGCCAUCGAAUACCAGGCCGAUCUUGGACGCUACCAGUGGGUCGACUACCCCUGCAGCGACGAGUACGUCAUCGUUUGCGAAUACAGAACUUGCAAUUAAAAAUGUUUUUUAAAAUAUUUCAACGAUAACGUGGGAUAAUAAGCCCCCCCCCCUUUUGUUGUUUUGUACACGAGUGUUUCUUAUAAAACGAAUGUCCAAGGCCAAUAAAUAAUUCCAAUCGAA